UGCAGUCGAGCGGAACGAGAAGUAGCUUGCUACUUCGGCGUCGAGCGGCGGACGGGUGAGUAAUGCCUAGGAAAUUGCCUUGAUGUGGGGGAUAACUAUUGGAAACGAUAGCUAAUACCGCAUAACGCCUACGGGCCAAAGAGGGGGAUCUUCGGACCUCUCGCGUCAAGAUAUGCCUAGGUGGGAUUAGCUAGUUGGUGAGGUAAUGGCUCACCAAGGCAACGAUCCCUAGCUGGUCUGAGAGGAUGAUCAGCCACACUGGAACUGAGACACGGUCCAGACUCCUACGGGAGGCAGCAGUGGGGAAUAUUGCACAAUGGGCGCAAGCCUGAUGCAGCCAUGCCGCGUGUAUGAAGAAGGCCUUCGGGUUGUAAAGUACUUUCAGUCGUGAGGAAGGUUCAUACGUUAAUAGCGUAUGGAUUUGACGUUAGCGACAGAAGAAGCACCGGCUAACUCCGUGCCAGCAGCCGCGGUAAUACGGAGGGUGCGAGCGUUAAUCGGAAUUACUGGGCGUAAAGCGCAUGCAGGUGGUUCGUUAAGUCAGAUGUGAAAGCCCGGGGCUCAACCUCGGAACUGCAUUUGAAACUGGCGGACUAGAGUACUGUAGAGGGGGGUAGAAUUUCAGGUGUAGCGGU
This 635-nucleotide ribosomal RNA is filed under the name Vibrio sp. I1. RNAcentral describes it as "bacterial SSU rRNA". It matches the Rfam family "Bacterial small subunit ribosomal RNA", at positions 56 to 682 of the family's 1533-position model. Lineage: Bacteria; Pseudomonadati; Pseudomonadota; Gammaproteobacteria; Vibrionales; Vibrionaceae. The record is from RNAcentral. RNAcentral also lists the same sequence under 1 other name.